Molecule: ribosomal RNA, 275 nt
Filed under: uncultured Arenimonas sp.
Lineage: Bacteria; Pseudomonadati; Pseudomonadota; Gammaproteobacteria; Lysobacterales; Lysobacteraceae
Description: partial 16S ribosomal RNA
Rfam family: Bacterial small subunit ribosomal RNA
Source: RNAcentral
CCUACGGGUGGCAGCAGUGGGGAAUAUUGGACAAUGGGCGCAAGCCUGAUCCAGCCAUGCCGCGUGUGUGAAGAAGGCCUUCGGGUUGUAAAGCACUUUUGUUCGGGAAGAAAAGCUUCGGGCUAAUACCCCGGGGUUCUGACGGUACCGAAAGAAUAAGCACCGGCUAACUUCGUGCCAGCAGCCGCGGUAAUACGAAGGGUGCAAGCGUUACUCGGAAUUACUGGGCGUAAAGCGUGCGUAGGUGGUUCGUUAAGUCUGCCGUGAAAGCCCCG